AAAACGACUCUCGACAACGGAUAUCUCGGCUCUCGCAUCGAUGAAGAACGUAGCGAAAUGCGAUACUUGGUGUGAAUUGCAGAAUCCCGUGAACCAUCGAGUCUUUGAACGCAAGUUGCGCCCGAAGCCUUUAGGCCGAGGGCACGCCUGCCUGGGCGUCACA
This 163-nucleotide ribosomal RNA is filed under the name Pyrus pyrifolia. Its description in RNAcentral is "5.8S ribosomal RNA". It matches the Rfam family "5.8S ribosomal RNA". From Rfam's summary of the family: 5.8S ribosomal RNA (5.8S rRNA) is a component of the large subunit of the eukaryotic ribosome. RNAcentral also lists the same sequence under 1 other name. Lineage: Eukaryota; Viridiplantae; Streptophyta; Magnoliopsida; Rosales; Rosaceae. The record is from RNAcentral.